Molecule: ribosomal RNA, 253 nt
Filed under: uncultured bacterium
Lineage: Bacteria
Description: partial 16S ribosomal RNA
Rfam family: Bacterial small subunit ribosomal RNA
Source: RNAcentral
UACGUAGGGUGCAAGCGUUGUUCGGAAUUACUGGGCGUAAAGCGCGCGUAGGCGGGCUUGAAAGUUGAUUGUGAAGGCCCUGGGCUUAACCCGGGAAUGGCAGUCAAAACUUCAAGUCUUGAGUGCCUGAGAGGAUGGCGGAAUUCCCGGUGUAGUAGUGAAAUACGUAGAUAUCGGGAGGAACACCAGUGGCGAAGGCGACUACCUGGCCUGUUCUUGACGCUGAGGCGCGAAAGCUAGGGGAGCAAACGGG